Long non-coding RNA from Neofelis nebulosa (Clouded leopard), 476 nucleotides. RefSeq lists it as uncharacterized. The record is from RefSeq and is a predicted model, not a curated record. Lineage: Eukaryota; Metazoa; Chordata; Mammalia; Carnivora; Felidae. The transcript has 3 exons.
UCUCGGCCCGGCUCCUCUGGGCACACAGCCUCAGGCUCCAUCACCCAGAGCCCCACCCCCCGCCGUCCUUGGCUCUGGAACCCGGAUGCUCAAGCCUCUGGACGUUGCCUUUACUCCUCAGCCGCUCUUCCAGCCAAGUCAAGCGUAAAACAAAACAAAAGCAGUCCCCCACUACUGUCCGAAAUUGCCCUGCAGUUCUGUGACACAUGCUUUCCUAGCAGUUACCUUCACCAGGACCACAUCCGAAGCCAGACCCACUGAUGAAUGGACCUCUCUGAAUCUGCAUGACCAUCACGGGACCCUGCCUGGGGGGAGGGGGUGGUACUCACCGCGCUGCCAUUAGGGUGGCUCGGGUCGUGUGCCCAUCCGGGAGCACAGCCAGGUCGGGAAGCGGGCUGCAAACCAGGCACUCGACCCGGUCGACCAGGCAGGAGGGAGAUGUCAGCUCCUCGAUUUUCCAGACCAGAACCGAAGCU